AGCAUGUUAGCUCAGGGGAAGAGCGCCGGGCUCAUAACCCGGAGGUACGUCUUAACUUCUUCUCAAGUUUAAAACAGCAAAAUUCUAACAGUAACCAGGUCCCUGGAUCGAAACCAGGACAUGCUA
Aspergillus carlsbadensis is the source of this 126-nucleotide non-coding RNA. Lineage: Eukaryota; Fungi; Ascomycota; Eurotiomycetes; Eurotiales; Aspergillaceae. The record is from the annotation of a GenBank genome assembly.